GACGAACGCUGGCGGCGUGCUUAACACAUGCAAGUCGAACGGAAAGGCCCUGCUUUUGUGGGGUGCUCGAGUGGCGAACGGGUGAGUAACACGUGAGUAACCUGCCCUUGACUUUGGGAUAACUUCAGGAAACUGGGGCUAAUACCGGAUAGGAGCUCCUGCUGCAUGGUGGGGGUUGGAAAGUUUCGGCGGUUGGGGAUGGACUCGCGGCUUAUCCGCUUGUUGGUGGGGUAGUGGCUUACCAAGGCUUUGACGGGUAGCCGGCCUGAGAGGGUGACCGGCCACAUUGGGACUGAGAUACGGCCCAGACUCCUACGGGCGGCAGCAGUGGGGAAUAUUGCACAAUGGGCGGAAGCCUGAUGCAGCAACGCCGCGUGCGGGAUGACGGCCUUCGGGUUGUAAACCGCUUUCGCCUGUGACGAAGCGUGAGUGACGGUAAUGGGUAAAGAAGCACCGGCUAACUACGUG
RNAcentral lists this ribosomal RNA (468 nucleotides) under uncultured bacterium. RNAcentral describes it as "partial 16S ribosomal RNA". It matches the Rfam family "Bacterial small subunit ribosomal RNA", at positions 28 to 507 of the family's 1533-position model. The record is from RNAcentral.